ACCUUGCUGACGAGUUCCAAGUAGCACGAAACUCGAGUCCAGGGU
RNAcentral lists this non-coding RNA (45 nucleotides) under Schistosoma curassoni. The record is from RNAcentral. Lineage: Eukaryota; Metazoa; Platyhelminthes; Trematoda; Strigeidida; Schistosomatidae.